AAUAUUGGACAAUGGGCGAAAGCCUGAUCCAGCCAUACCGCGCGUGUGAAGAAGGUCUUCGGCGUGUAAAGCACUCUAAGUUGGGAGGAAGAGUUGUAGGCGUAUACCUAGCAAUUCUGACGUUAGCAACAGAAUCAGCAUCGGCUAACUUCGUGCCAGCAGCCUCGGUAAUACGAAGGGUGCAAGCGUUAAUCGGAAUUACUGGGCGUAAAGCGCGAGUAGGUGGUUCGUUAAGUUGGAAGUGAAAGCCCCGGGCUUAACCUGGGAAUUGCUUUCAAAACUGACGAGCUAGAGUACGGUAGAGGGUAGUGGAAUUUCGUGUGUAGCGGUGAAAUGCGUAAAUAUAGGAAGGAACAUCAGUGGCGAAGGCGACUACCUGGACUGAUACUGACACUGAGGUGCGAAAGCGUGGGGAGCAAACAGG
RNAcentral lists this ribosomal RNA (424 nucleotides) under uncultured bacterium. Its description in RNAcentral is "partial 16S ribosomal RNA". It matches the Rfam family "Bacterial small subunit ribosomal RNA", at positions 360 to 776 of the family's 1533-position model. The record is from RNAcentral.